AUUGAACGCUGGCGGCAGGCCUAACACAUGCAAGUCGAGCGGUAGAGAGGUGCUUGCAUCUCUUGAGAGCGGCGGACGGGUGAGUAAUGCCUAGGAAUCUGCCUAGUGGUGGGGGAUAACGUUCGGAAACGGACGCUAAUACCGCAUACGUCCUACGGGAGAAAGCGGGGGAUCUUCGGACCUCGCGCCAUUAGAUGAGCCUAGGUCGGAUUAGCUAGUUGGUGAGGUAAUGGCUCACCAAGGCGACGAUCCGUAACUGGUCUGAGAGGAUGAUCAGUCACACUGGAACUGAGACACGGUCCAGACUCCUACGGGAGGCAGCAGUGGGGAAUAUUGGACAAUGGGCGAAAGACCUGAUCCAGCCAUGCCGCGUGUGUGAAGAAGG
RNAcentral lists this ribosomal RNA (385 nucleotides) under uncultured bacterium. RNAcentral describes it as "bacterial SSU rRNA". It matches the Rfam family "Bacterial small subunit ribosomal RNA", at positions 30 to 414 of the family's 1533-position model. The record is from RNAcentral.